AUCACUGAAAGUAAAAGAAAGUUCUGCAGAACCCAAAAACUUUUGCAAUAGUUCGAAUUAAUCUGUGUCGUUUGCAGUACAGUACAGUGCUGGACUUGACCAAUUUAAGUUUUUUUGUUGUUGUUGUUGUUGUUCCUGAAAAGGGGCGGAGCUUGAGUUGGGCUUCUAUCAGUGCUGCGUGGAGCGGAGGAGCGACAUCAGACUGGCUGCCUCUAAUUCUUCUUCUUCUCCUCCUCAUACUCGACCCACGAGAUCAUGUCCCGUUACGAUCCACAGCCACAUUUCUCGAGGAUGAUGGAAGCCGUCACUCCCCGGCCACACCAUUAGGGUACAAGCAUGGAGGAAAUGGACUUUGAGCGGCGCCGGGAGCUGAGGAGGCAGAAGCGGGAGGAGAUGCGCCUGGAGGCCGAACGGUUGUUAAGGAACGACGACGACGAGGAGGAGGCCGCCCGCGAGAGGAGGCGCCGGGCCCGCCAGGAGAGGCUGAGGGCCAGGGAGAACGACGACUCCACCGGGCAGCCCGACAGUCAGGUCACGACCAACUGCCACAGCGUGACAGAAAGCGUCUCAGCCAGCCACUCUUUCGGCGGGUGCGGCGAGGAAGAGGACCAAGCGCUGCUGGACCGCAUGGCCAAGCGCGAGGAGCGCAGGCAGCGUCGUCUGAAGGAGGCGCUGGAGCGACAGCAGCAGUCGGACGAGACAGAAGGCUACGACGGCGGCAGCGGGGAGAAGAGCGAAACGGCGCGGGGGGAGGAGGAGGAGGAGGAGGAGGAGCAGAAGCCUUCCUCUUGGUGUCGGGAGAAAACGUACAGCUCGAGGAGAGAGGAGAAGGAGCCCGAGGUGGCCAGAGAGGAAGAGGAGGUCGCUCCUGAGGAGGAGAAAGUGAUGGAGGAGAAGCCAAGCAGAUCUUACCUAAGAGAAGAGGAAUCAAGUGACGAACCCAACAUAGAAAAGCAGGAGCGUGCAGAGGAAGGAAGUUAUUCAGUAGUCAGUAGAAAUCAGGCCGAGGCAGCAGAAGUAGCGGCCGACGGGGCACCCCAGGGCGCUUUUAUAGACGUCAGAGCGCGUAAGAUACAGAGAAAUGACAGCGAUGGCGACAAUGAGCAGAGGAAGCAGAACGGAGGGCUGCAUGAUGAUGAUGAUGAUGAUGAGGAAGAGGAGGACGCUAUUCCCAAACAGCACAGGAAACCCGAGAGGACGCUCAGCGGAGGCGGCGCGCGCUCCCCCGAGGCGUCGGCCGACGACGCGCAGGACGACGACGACGACGGCGCCCGCUCGGAGGCCGAGCGCAAGCCGGAGGAGCUGAAGCGCCGCCGCGACGACGCCGAGAGCGAGGAGUCGGAGCGCAUGCGGCAGAAGCAGCAGGAGGCCGAGGCCCAGCUGGAGGAGCUGAAGAGGAAGAGAGAGGAGAGGAGGAAGGUGACGGAGGAGGAGGAGAGGCAGAGGAAGCAGGACGAGGCUGAGAGGAAAGCCAGAGAGGAGGAGGAAAAGAGGAAGAUGAAAGAGGAGAUCGAGAGGAGGAGAGCAGAGGCGGCCGAGAAGAGGCAGAAGGUGGAGGACCCGACGGACGGCGAAGGAAAACCCUUCAAGUGCGUCAGCCCUCGCGGCUCUUCCCUCAAGAUUGGAGAGCGGGCUGAAUUUCUCAACAAGUCAGCACAGAAAAGCACAGUAAAGACGUCCCCUUCUCCCGUGGUGUCCAAGAUCGACAACAGACUGGAGCAGUACACCUCGGCCGCUCAGAGAGAGAACAAGGAGUCCCGAUCCCCUCGCCCGGGAGCCGCGGAUCUCCCGGCGGUGACCGACAGCAUACGAAACAUCAAGAGCAUGUGGGAGAAAGGCAACGCGUUCAGCUCGCCGGGAAGCGGCGGCAGCGCCUUCAAGGUAAGGGGUUGGCGCAUCGUCGGCGGAAGGGAGGCACCGUUUUCAGCGCCGCAUCCCCACCUUUCGCCUCCGUCUAAGCAGGAAGCAGCCUGUGAUCAAGACGGGCGUGGCCGGCCGCAUCAACGACUGGCUGAAUAAAACCCCCGAGAGCGGCAAGGCGGCGGCAGGGAGGCCAUCGGACCUGAAGCCCGUCGACGUGACCAACAAGAGGAGUUUAUGGGAAAACAAAGGCUCCUCUCCGGCCAAGGUGGCAGGAAGAGGCGAGAGCAAAUCAGUCAGCAACGGUACGGGCCACUGAAGCCCAGGAGGAGCCGCGACCAUCCCAGCCUCGGGCUCGACGACCAAAUAUCGACCACAAUCCCAAAGAGGGACCCUGAGAAAAAGGAAGAAACAAAAAGUGUGCGGGGGGUGGACACACAUCUCAGCAUUGUACACAAACAUGACUAGGUUUUUCCACGGUGGCCACUUUAGGUGCCUUUGCACGUUAUUUGCUUUGUAAAAGAAAGCGAAUGCUGUGAAAAUUGGAUAUUCCGACGACGAAAUCGUAAAAUGUAAUUGCAGUGAAGUUGAGAGGAGAUUCCUAAGUUUUCCCAGGGUGACACCCCCUCGUAAAGUUUCAUUCCAUCUCUUUUUAAUUUAUAUUUAAAGCAAAAGCUUCACGCAUUUUACGAUUUUAUUGCAACACGAAGAUAGAAAUAUAAGCACUUGUAGAGUUUAGCCGGAGUCACGUUUAUCACGUCUCACAAUAUCGCGGCAACGGUCCGGGUCACGUACAGUACGUUAGCGCGUAUACGGUCAUCGUACGGUAUCUUAUGUAACAUCCUUACUUAUACUCGCAACAAAAUUCUAUUGUUGCUUUUUUAAAUAUUUUUGGGGAAUCCAUGAACAUUCCACCGACACAGUGUCGUCAUACAAAAGGCCAUUGUGACUUUUUCUGAUCUUAUUUAUGUUGUGAUUUUUGUAGCUUCAGACAUUCCUCUUUAAAGCAGGUGCACGUGAUGCCUUCCAACUUUUUAUAUGUAAAGGUAAGAAAAAAGGCAAAGCGGCCAUUUGACCUUUGACUUAAAAGAAAAUCAAAAGAAAGUAUGGCUUUUACGCACGCUCGAGUAGAAAUCAGGGCGCUCCCGAGAGGACGAGCCGCUACGUACUUUAUCGGGCCUCACGACGGCGACGAGAAGAUUUUUAACGAGGAUUCCUCAGUCUUAAAUCGCUCGGAUGGAUUUCAGUUCCCGCUCCGAAGUCAGACAAUCACAUUCCACGGCCUCCGAAAAGAGCAGGACCAAAAUAUGUUCUCCUUUCCGAAUGUGUUUGAAUGUUUGUUUUUGAAUGUUUUGUCCAUGUUUCUUUUGUAUUUUCACGCUUAACCAGCAAGUUUGCGAAAGCGACGUAACGCCGCAACACGCGCCUCGUCUUACGUCGGUGUCCGCGAACAACAUUCCCAAUGUCACGCACGCUUCCGAGCGGACGAAUGUUUUGAAAGCAUUGUACCACUGUCAACUAGCAACGGAAAUAAAGACAUUUGAGAUCGGA
This is an RNA transcript of Phyllopteryx taeniolatus (common seadragon), 3411 nucleotides long. It is a transcript of the gene named caldesmon 1a, with no coding region annotated. The transcript has 16 exons. The record is from RefSeq and is a predicted model, not a curated record. Lineage: Eukaryota; Metazoa; Chordata; Actinopteri; Syngnathiformes; Syngnathidae.